AUUGAGCCUUGAUGUGUAGGAUAGGUGGGAGGCUUUGAAGUGUGGACGCCAGUCUGCAUGGAGCCGACCUUGAAAUACCACCCUUUAAUGUUUGAUGUUCUAACGUGGACCCGUGAUCCGGGUUGCGGACAGUGUCUGGUGGGUAGUUUGACUGGGGCGGUCUCCUCCUAAAGAGUAACGGAGGAGCACGAAGGUUGGCUAAUCCUGGUCGGACAUCAGGAGGUUAGUGCAAUGGCAUAAGCCAGCUUGACUGCGAGCGUGACGGCGCGAGCAGGUGCGAAAGCAGGUCAUAGUGAUCCGGUGGUUCUGAAUGGAAGGGCCAUCGCUCAACGGAUAAAAGGUACUCCGGGGAUAACAGGCUGAUACCGCCCAAGAGUUCAUAUCGACGGCGGUGUUUGGCACCUCGAUGUCGGCUCAUCACAUCCUGGGGCUGAAGUAGGUCCCAAGGGUAUGGCUGUUCGCCAUUUAAAGUGGUACGCGAGCUGGGUUUAGAACGUCGUGAGACAGUUCGGUCCCUAUCUGCCGUGGGCGCUGGAGAACUGAGGGGGGCUGCUCCUAGUACGAGAGGACCGGAGUGGACGCAUCACUGGUGUUCGGGUUGUCAUGCCAAUGGCACUGCCCGGUAGCUAAAUGCGGAAGAGAUAAGUGCUGAAAGCAUCUAAGCACGAAACUUGCCCCGAGAUGAGUUCUCCCUGACUCCUUGAGAGUCCUGAAGGAACGUUGAAGACGACGACGUUGAUAGGCCGGGUGUGUAAGCGCAGCGAUGCGUUGAGCUAACCGGUACUAAUGAACCGUGAG
Molecule: ribosomal RNA, 798 nt
Filed under: Escherichia coli
Lineage: Bacteria; Pseudomonadati; Pseudomonadota; Gammaproteobacteria; Enterobacterales; Enterobacteriaceae
Description: partial 23S ribosomal RNA
Rfam family: Bacterial large subunit ribosomal RNA
Source: RNAcentral